ACGAUGAUGCCCAGCUUGCUGGGCGGAUUAGUGGCGAACGGGUGAGUAAUACGUGAGUAACCUGCCCUUGACUCUGGGAUAAGCCUGGGAAACUGGGUCUAAUACUGGAUACUACCUCUUACCGCAUGGUGGGUGGUGGAAAGGGUUUUACUGGUUUUGGAUGGGCUCACGGCCUAUCAGCUUGUUGGUGGGGUAAUGGCUCACCAAGGCGACGACGGGUAGCCGGCCUGAGAGGGUGACCGGCCACACUGGGACUGAGACACGGCCCAGACUCCUACGGGAGGCAGCAGUGGGGAAUAUUGCACAAUGGGCGGAAGCCUGAUGCAGCGACGCCGCGUGAGGGAUGACGGCCUUCGGGUUGUAAACCUCUUUCAGUAGGGAAGAAGCGAGAGUGACGGUACCUGCAGAAGAAGCGCCGGCUAACUACGUGCCAGCAGCCGCGGUAAUACGUAGGGCGCAAGCGUUGUCCGGAAUUAUUGGGCGUAAAGAGCUCGUAGGCGGUUUGUCGCGUCUGCUGUGAAAGCCCGGGGCUCAACCCCGGGUCUGCAGUGGGUACGGGCAGACUAGAGUGCAGUAGGGGAGACUGGAAUUCCUGGUGUAGCGGUGAAAUGCGCAGAUAUCAGGAGGAACACCGAUGGCGAAGGCAGGUCUCUGGGCUGUUACUGACGCUGAGGAGCGAAAGCAUGGGGAGCGAACAGGAUUAGAUACCCUGGUAGUCCAUGCCGUAAACGUUGGGCACUAGGUGUGGGGGACAUUCCACGUUUUCCGCGCCGUAGCUAACGCAUUAAGUGCCCCGCCUGGGGAGUACGGCCGCAAGGCUAAAACUCAAAGGAAUUGACGGGGGCCCGCACAAGCGGCGGAGCAUGCGGAUUAAUUCGAUGCAACGCGAAGAACCUUACCAAGGCUUGACAUUCACCGGACCGCCCCAGAGAUGGGGUUUCCCUUCGGGGCUGGUGGACAGGUGGUGCAUGGUUGUCGUCAGCUCGUGUCGUGAGAUGUUGGGUUAAGUCCCGCAACGAGCGCAACCCUCGUUCUAUGUUGCCAGCACGUGAUGGUGGGGACUCAUAGGAGACUGCCGGGGUCAACUCGGAGGAAGGUGGGGAUGACGUCAAAUCAUCAUGCCCCUUAUGUCUUGGGCUUCACGCAUGCUACAAUGGCCGGUACAAAGGGUUGCGAUACUGUGAGGUGGAGCUAAUCCCAAAAAGCCGGUCUCAGUUCGGAUUGAGGUCUGCAACUCGACCUCAUGAAGUCGGAGUCGCUAGUAAUCGCAGAUCAGCAACGCUGCGGUGAAUACGUUCCCGGGCCUUGUACACACCGCCCGUCAAGUCACGAAAGUUGGUAACACCCGAAGCCGGUGGCCUAACCCCUUGUGGGAGGGAGCCGUCGAAGGUGGGACUGGCGA
RNAcentral lists this ribosomal RNA (1402 nucleotides) under Kocuria sp. S186. RNAcentral's name for it is "bacterial SSU rRNA". It matches the Rfam family "Bacterial small subunit ribosomal RNA". The record is from RNAcentral. Lineage: Bacteria; Bacillati; Actinomycetota; Actinomycetes; Micrococcales; Micrococcaceae.